AACGUAGGAGACAAGCGUUAUCCGGAGUUACUGGGCGUAAAGGGCGUGCAGGCGGUGGGGUAAGUGAGAUGUGAAAUCGCUCGGCUUAACCGGGCGCGGUCAUCUCAGACUGCCGCGCUAGAGGACGAUAGAGGCGUGUGGAAUUCCGGGUGUAGUGGUGAAAUGCGUAGAGAUCCGGAGGAACACCAGUGGCGAAGGCGGCACGCUGGGUCGUACCUGACGCUGAGACGCGACAGCAUGGGGAGCAAACGGG
Molecule: ribosomal RNA, 253 nt
Filed under: uncultured bacterium
Lineage: Bacteria
Description: partial 16S ribosomal RNA
Rfam family: Bacterial small subunit ribosomal RNA
Source: RNAcentral